CAUAUCAAUAAGCGGAGGAAAGAAACUAACAAGGAUUCCCCUAGUAGCGGCGAGCGAAGCGGGAAGAGCUCAAAUUUAUAAUCUGGCACCUUCGGUGUCCGAGUUGUAAUCUCUAGAAAUGUUUUCCGCGUUGGACCGCACACAAGUCUGUUGGAAUACAGCGGCAUAGUGGUGAGACCCCCGUAUAUGGUGCGGACGCCCAGCGCUUUGUGAUACAUUUUCGAAGAGUCGAGUUGUUUGGGAAUGCAGCUCAAAUUGGGUGGUAAAUUCCAUCUAGAGCUAAAUAUUGGCGAGAGACCGAUAGCGAACAAGUACCGUGAGGGAAAGAUGAAAAGCACUUUGGAAAGAGAGUUAACAGUACGUGAAAUUGUUGGAAGGGAAACGCUUGAAGUCAGACUUGCUUGCCGAGCAAUCGGUUUGCAGGCCAGCAUCAGUUUUCCGGGAUGGAUAAUGGUAGAGAGAAGGUAGCAGUUUCGGCUGUGUUAUAGCUCUCUGCUGGAUACAUCUUGGGGGACUGAGGAACGCAGUGUGCCUUUGGCGGGGGUUUCGACCUCUUCACACUUAGGAUGCUGGUGGAAUGGCUUUAAACGACCCGUCUUGAAACACGGACC
Molecule: ribosomal RNA, 611 nt
Filed under: Rhodotorula mucilaginosa
Lineage: Eukaryota; Fungi; Basidiomycota; Microbotryomycetes; Sporidiobolales; Sporidiobolaceae
Description: eukaryotic LSU rRNA
Rfam family: Eukaryotic large subunit ribosomal RNA
Source: RNAcentral